AACGAACGCUGGCGGCAUGCCUAACACAUGCAAGUCGAACGGGACCGUCGUGCUUAGUGGCGCAGGUGGGCGGGACGCGGGGUAAUCUACCCGCAGGUUCGGAAUAACUGAGUGAAAUUUGAGUUAAUACCGGUGGGGGACGUAAGGCCAAAGAGUUAUCGCCUGAGGGUGGGGCCGGGUAGGUUUAGGUAGUUGGUGAGGUAAAGGCGCAGCAAGCCGACGAUGCUUAGCUGGUCUGUGAGGAUGAUCUGCCACACUGGGACUGAGACCCGGCCCAGACUCGUACGGGAGGCAGCAGUAGGGAAUAUUGGACAAUGGGCGAAAGCCUGAUACAGCAAUGCCGCGUGAGUGAUGAAGGCCUUAGGGUUGUAAAGCUCUUUUACCCGGGAUGAUAAUGACAGUAACGGGAGAAUAAGCUCCGGCUAACUACGUG
This 433-nucleotide ribosomal RNA is filed under the name uncultured bacterium. RNAcentral describes it as "partial 16S ribosomal RNA". It matches the Rfam family "Bacterial small subunit ribosomal RNA", at positions 29 to 507 of the family's 1533-position model. The record is from RNAcentral.